This 468-nucleotide ribosomal RNA is filed under the name uncultured bacterium. RNAcentral's name for it is "partial 16S ribosomal RNA". It matches the Rfam family "Bacterial small subunit ribosomal RNA", at positions 28 to 507 of the family's 1533-position model. The record is from RNAcentral.
GACGAACGCUGGCGGCGUGCUUAACACAUGCAAGUCGAACGGAAAGGCCCUGCUUUUGUGGGGUGCUCGAGUGGCGAACGGGUGAGUAACACGUGAGUAACCUGCCCUUGACUUUGGGAUAACUUCAGGAAACUGGGGCUAAUACCGGAUAGGAGCUCCUGCUGCAUGGUGGGGGUUGGAAAGUUUCGGCGGUUGGGGAUGGACUCGCGGCUUAUCAGCUUGUUGGUGGGGUAGUGGCUUACCAAGGCUUUGACGGGUAGCCGGCCUGGGAGGGUGACCGGCCACCUUGGGACUGAGGUUCGGCCCAGACUCCUACGGGGGGCAGCAGGGGGGAAUAUUGCACAAUGGGCGGAAGCCUGAUGCAGCAACGCCGCGUGCGGGAUGACGGCCUUCGGGUUGUAAACCGCUUUCGCCUGUGACGAAGCGUGAGUGACGGUAAUGGGUAAAGAAGCACCGGCUAACUACGUG